CAAUCACGCCAGCGAUGGUGUGAUGAAUUGUAAGAAGUCAGCAGAAGCCAUAGUAGCUCUACGGAGUGAAGGGC
RNAcentral lists this non-coding RNA (74 nucleotides) under Shouchella lonarensis. Lineage: Bacteria; Bacillati; Bacillota; Bacilli; Caryophanales; Bacillaceae. The record is from RNAcentral.